UUUCGCGGCAAUAACCAGAACGAAAAUGCCUAAUGAUUUGAAAUUCUCUCGUCUUUGCAAUCUAGUCAAUGAUUCUAUUCAUCCGUACACCCUUCUAAUGGAUCUGCAGGAGGCGGAAGUGAUUUCUUUAACCACAGGCAAGGAGAAGGAUCUUCUAAUCUCUCUCUCAGAGGUUUGGAGAGAAAUUCAGCUUAUGAAACAAGAACUUGAUUAUGAUUCCGAUGAAGAAGCGGCUUGUGAAUCUGCUCGUGACAAGAAAUUUUCUGGUGAAUCAGAGCUGCAUCAUGAGGAUCAUAACUGUUUGUCCAAAAUCCUAGCUGAUUUAAUAUUUCUUUUGACAGUCGAGAGUCUAUUUGUACAUCAUCUGGUGGGCAACAUUCUUGUUGUCAUUUCUGAGUUUUUGAUGGCAUCUGCAAGUGAGUGGGAAUCUUUCAUUCAUUCAAUGUUCAUUUGUAUGGAGUUGGCAAUUAGCAAUGUGUCAUCUCACUCUCUGGCAGCUUCAACUAAUGGAGCUAGGGACUCAAAUUGUGAUUCGUCAAGUUUUGUUGUCUUAAAAUCUAGACUGCAAAAUGCUAACUGGUCUACAGCAGCUACAAUUAUUCGAGUUUUACGCAACACUUCAAAAUAUUUGAAGCAAGAGGAUGAUAACCAACUUCAUAAAACAUUCUUGGAUUCUGUCAGUUCUUUUCUUUUGAAUGUACCUUGGGAUUUCAUGGAUCAGAUCCAAGUUGGUCAGAGUGGUGGCACUAAAGGAAGCAAUUCUGGGAAUAGCCAUUUUGUACGUACUAUAUUUAGAAAUGUUGAUCAGAAGGAGACAGAGGUUGUGUUUCUUGGCAAUUUUAUUCAGUUCCUCUGUUCAUUGGUUGAGCAAAGCUGUGCUGUAGAAACUGAGAUUGGUUCACAACAUGAUCAUCCAGUUCUUUGUAUAAUCAUCAGUUCUGUGCCUAAACUUUUCUGUUGGUGCCUUGGCGAGCAAAGGAACUGUGCUGAAAUGCCCAUCUCUCAGUACUUCAGGCAUAAGUUGUUGAUGUUGAUGCUGAGGCUUAGUUAUCAGACUUGUCUAGGUUGCUCCACUCUCAUUUCAUGGUUGCGACUUCUUAAUAAUUAUUUCGAAGAGCUCUUGUGGAAACCCAUAAUCGAACUUGAGUUUGGUCAGGAUGAAUCCAUUGAAGGUUCUCCAUUUCUAUUGAGUCUUUCUGAUGGAGAAGUAAAUGGAGUCAAUUCUGAUCACUUAAGAAGGUGGGCUAUUCUCCUUUACCUGAGGUGUUGUUUUGGUUUGAUCAGCUUGACAAGGGACAGUAAUGAGCAAUGCGCAUGUGGUACUUGUAAAUCUUACUUGACUUUCGACUCAGGCUCAGACCUGAUUUGUUGUGGUAGAAAGAAAGGUUGCUUAGAGCUUUACAAAUGGCUUCAAGGACAUCUUCCAACUGACGUGUUUGUGGACCAUGAAACUAAUCUUGUAAAGUGUGUUGGCUUUGCCUUAUCUUUUCUCCAGCUGUAUAUGCAUGAGGAUGAUGUAUUGUUCAAGGUGCUUUUACAACUGCUUAGCAUUCAGUCCUGUUUAGAUCAACUGUCACAGGGAGGAAAAUGGACAUUUGAGGAUGUUAAAGAAGAUUUUGCUUUUCACUUUACAAGCAUUUUUAAUCCUGUAUACCUGUUCCAUCUAUUCCUUGCAGAGUUGCAUUAUGAUCACCAGGUGCUUCUUGAUUACCUUAUUUCUAAAGAUACAGGAAUCAGCUCUGCAGAAUAUCUUUUAAGGUGUUUGCGUAUAGUGUGCAAUUCGUGGCAGUUGUUUGUAACAUUUUCCAUGCAUGAGAAAGUUGUAAAUCAUUCAUCUUGCAAGAAAAGAAAAAUGGUUUUGCAUGGCUCUAAUCUUCAAGUGGAAGCAUCUUCUACACCAAUAAAAUACAUUCCCUCAGCAGUUGAAGAGAAAACAAAGGAAGACUUUAAAUAUAGCCACAAGCAUUGGAAAAACAUAAGUCCUCUGUUCAAGAAAGCCGAAAAUUGUUUGCUUUCAUUAAAAGGUGUUAUGGAGAAUCUCCAUCGAAAGAACUUGUUUCCAUAUAAUCCUGAAGUUCUGUUGAAACGUUUAACAAAAUUUCAGGAGCUAUGUUUUGAUUAAGAGAAUAUGGCUGUUCUUUUACUUCAGUUGCAGUAAAUUUUGCAUCUUUUGCUUUAAAAUCAAAUAGCAAAUCAGAAUCCUAUUGCUCUAACCAUUCUGGAGGCAUCAUGGUAUAGAAUACAUGUAAAGCAAACUAUUUACCAGAGUAGGUGGAAGGGCAUGGCUGGAAGAGUGCUUCAGCACCUCUUGAGUUCAUCAAUCAAAAUGGUUGAGGGGUACUUGUUAAGUAGUGUCAACCAUUUGACAGUUUGAUUGAAGCCCCGAGUAAAAACUAGCUGCCUGAUGGGAUUAUGUGAUCGACUAGAGCCUACCAGAACUACUUUGGAUAAACCAGAAUGAUGAGAUGAGAAGACAGUUUGCUUUGCUUUGCUCCUGAGGAACGUGGAGAGUGAAUGGGUAAAGUGGAAUGUUUUUGCAAGUGGAGACUUCUAGACACUUAAUAAGACUUUUAUUCUCAAACGAAGAAAGUGGAGAUAGAUUUUCUCAUUCUUUCUAGCUGGGAAUGCACCUUUUUCACCUUUUUUUUUUUUUUUUUCUCAUUGAAAACAGAGAUUGGAGGCAUAUAUUCUCACUCUCUAUUACUAAUUUAAUGACUCGACAAAUUUGCCCUCAUUUCUAUUAAGCAAAAACAGUGGUUAGUGGACAGAAAAACGUAAAAUUUGCUGAAGAUAUGUAUUGUUCAAAGAGGUCACUUGUAGCAGUUCUCCCCAAUUGAGGAUUUAAUUUUGGCAUCGUCAGCCAUUUGAACAAUCCUCCCCAACAGAGGUGA
Non-coding RNA from Jatropha curcas, 2891 nucleotides. NCBI's taxonomy places the organism in Eukaryota, Viridiplantae, Streptophyta, Magnoliopsida, Malpighiales, Euphorbiaceae. The record is from RefSeq and is a predicted model, not a curated record.